UUUCCAGACACCCUGGCUCAGAGAGGUGUUAUUGCAACGUGAUGGGCCUGCAGCAGGCAUUUCCCAAAUGCUUUCAGUGAGGGAGUAUACUGAUGUUGAACCUCAUCAGCCUGCUGCAAGCACAUUGGUAUUCAUGCAGCGACUUCAGAGCCACACUCCUGAGCAGGGUGAGACUAAAACAAGCAGACACUUCUCCCAGAUUUGUUUCUGCAGCAGCCCAACUAGGGACCUCGACAGGACGAGGGAGGGGAAGAGCCUCUUGGUUUUCACCAGAUAAGCAAGCAAGCAAGACAAGAGGUCCUGGAGUUUCUUAG
Molecule: long non-coding RNA, 314 nt
Filed under: Calidris pygmaea (Spoon-billed sandpiper)
Lineage: Eukaryota; Metazoa; Chordata; Aves; Charadriiformes; Scolopacidae
Description: lncRNA (ENSCPGG00000003520.1)
Source: RNAcentral